Molecule: ribosomal RNA, 410 nt
Filed under: uncultured bacterium
Lineage: Bacteria
Description: bacterial SSU rRNA
Rfam family: Bacterial small subunit ribosomal RNA
Source: RNAcentral
UCUAGUGGCGGACGGGUGAGUAACGCGUGGGUAACCUGCCUUAUCCAGGGGAUAACAGUUAGAAAUGACUGCUAAUACCGCAUAAGCGCACAGUUUCGCAUGAAACAGUGUGAAAAGAUUUAUCGGGAUAAGAUGGACCCGCGUCUGAUUAGCUAGUUGGUGAGGUAACGGCCCACCAAGGCGACGAUCAGUAGCCGGCCUGAGAGGGUGAACGGCCACAUUGGGACUGAGACACGGCCCAAACUCCUACGGGAGGCAGCAGUGGGGAAUAUUGCACAAUGGGGGAAACCCUGAUGCAAGCGACGCCGCGUGAGUGAAGAAGUAUUUCGGUAUGGUAAAGCUCUAUCAGCAGGGAAGAAAAUGACGGUACCUGACUAAGAAGCCCCGGCUAACUACGUGCCAGCAGCGGC